UACGAAGGGGGCUAGCGUUGUUCGGAUUUACUGGGCGUAAAGCGCACGUAGGCGGAUCGUUAAGUCAGGGGUGAAAUCCUGGAGCUCAACUCCAGAACUGCCUUUGAUACUGGCGAUCUUGAGUCCGGAAGAGGUGAGUGGAACUCCUAGUGUAGAGGUGGAAUUCGUAGAUAUUAGGAAGAACACCAGUGGCGAAGGCGGCUCACUGGUCCGGUACUGACGCUGAGGUGCGAAAGCGUGGGGAGCAA
Molecule: ribosomal RNA, 248 nt
Filed under: uncultured bacterium
Lineage: Bacteria
Description: partial 16S ribosomal RNA
Rfam family: Bacterial small subunit ribosomal RNA
Source: RNAcentral